Long non-coding RNA from Leopardus geoffroyi (Geoffroy's cat), 614 nucleotides. RefSeq lists it as uncharacterized. The record is from RefSeq and is a predicted model, not a curated record. NCBI's taxonomy places the organism in Eukaryota, Metazoa, Chordata, Mammalia, Carnivora, Felidae. The transcript is spliced from 4 exons.
AACAGAUACCUUGACUUCUCAGAUGGGUGGGACCAUGACCAGAAGACCUUCAUCAAUGUAGAGACAAACUUUCUGACCUACAGAAAAUCUUUGCCCUGUUUCUACUUCAUGUACCCAUGAAAAGAAAAUGAAUAACAAGAAUGACAUUUGUGUCACCCAGGACAAUGGAAAGAAGGGAUGUUCCUGCUGUUUGUGGCUGCAUGGUUGGCCGAGAAUACUACUCAUGUUGGCCCUAGAAGUACUCCCUCUAUUUCCAUCUCCAUGUCCUCUCUUCAGGGCUUAUCAACUUCAGUUGCUUCAGAAAACAAAGUGAGGUAUCUUCUAGAAACCUCUUCUCAGAUAUGACAUUUAAAGAGUUGAGUUGCUGUUAUUUGUUUGAUAAAAUCAUAUGCAAAGAAUUUAACCUUUUUUGGGGGUAGAGAUACUCACUGUUUCCUUCCCAAGUGAAGGACAAUGCCAUUUUUUUUAUAUAUCAGGAGAACUAGAUUAUACUGACUUUAUGUUGCUGGAAUAAGUACCGAUAUGCACACACACUCACAUCCAUACACAUGUAUACAAGCCUUCCUAAAACUGUAUUAUAAGUGACUGUCUUCUUCAAUACUCUUCAGAGGCAC